Molecule: ribosomal RNA, 396 nt
Filed under: uncultured bacterium
Lineage: Bacteria
Description: bacterial SSU rRNA
Rfam family: Bacterial small subunit ribosomal RNA
Source: RNAcentral
AUAUUGGACAAUGGGCGCAAGCCUGAUCCAGCAAUGCCGCGUGAGUGAUGACGGCCUUAGGGUUGUAAAGCUCUUUCGCACGCGACGAUGAUGACGGUAGCGUGAGAAGAAGCCCCGGCUAACUUCGUGCCAGCAGCCGCGGUAAUACGACGGGGGCUAGCGUUGUUCGGAAUUACUGGGAGUAAAGGGCGCGUAGGCGGCCUGUUUAGUCAGAAGUGAAAGCCCCGGGCUCAACCUGGGAAUAGCUUUUGAUACUGGCAGUCUUGAGUUCCGGAGAGGAUGGUGGAAUUCCCAGUGUAGAGGUGAAAUUCGUAGAUAUUGGGAAGAACACCGGUGGCGAAGGCGGCCAUCUGGACGGACACUGACGCUGAGGCUCGAAAGCGUGGGGAGCAAACA